UAAGGGAGACCAAACCCAUUAAGCACCGAAAACAACAAUUAGGUAUUGAUGAGGUCAACCUAGGUCGUGGCGAAGCAAGUGUGGCUUUUCAACUAUAGUUAGGUUUGGAAAAAGGGCUAUUAGCUCAGGUGGUUAGAGCGCACCCCUGAUAAGGGUGAGGUCCCUGGUUCGAGUCCAGGAUGGCCCACCUUGCAAAAGUAGAAAGUAGAAAUUAUUUGCCUAGAAGGCAAAUAAUAGCAACUUAAAACAAAUCCGACUGGAAGGCUAGCUCUGUUGGUAAAGCGAGGGCUUUACAAGAGGAUGUCAAAAAUUUGGGUCUGCUUACCUCCACUUAAGAAAACAUAGUAAAUAGUUCAGUACCUUGACUAAUAUUUAGUCAGAAUACUGAGCAAAACUCAGUCAGAACCUUGAAAACUGCAUAGAGAAAGCAAAUAGCAGGCAGAUCCAAGAGGGUAACACCUCAUGUAUCUGACAAAAUGAACU
This 483-nucleotide transfer RNA is filed under the name coccoid cyanobacterium Hutten-14135-NP6B. Its description in RNAcentral is "16S-23S ribosomal RNA intergenic spacer". The stretch from base 114 to 187 matches the Rfam family "tRNA". Lineage: Bacteria; Bacillati; Cyanobacteriota. The record is from RNAcentral.